This 240-nucleotide unclassified non-coding RNA is filed under the name soil metagenome. RNAcentral's name for it is "partial contains 5.8S ribosomal RNA, internal transcribed spacer 2, and large subunit ribosomal RNA". The record is from RNAcentral.
AACGCACGAGACCUGCGGACCUGCGGAAGGAUCAUUAAUGAGAAGCUGCCCCUCGUGGGUAGACCUCCCACCCUCUGUGAACUUACCUUUGUUGCUUUGGCAGGCCCGUCCUCUGGACCGCCGGCUUCGGCUGGCCCGUGCCUGCCAGAGGAUUCCAAACCCUGUCUGUCAGGGUUGUCUGAGUCUAUAUGAAAUCGUUAAAACUUUUAACAAUGGAUCUCUAGAUCGGAAGAGCACACG